GACGAACGCUGGCGGCGUGCUUAACACAUGCAAGUCGAACGGAAAGGCCCUGCUUUUGUGGGGUGCUCGAGUGGCGAACGGGUGAGUAACACGUGAGUAACCUGCCCUUGACUUUGGGAUAACUUCAGGAAACUGGGGCUAAUACCGGAUAGGAGCUCCUGCUGCAUGGUGGGGGUUGGAAAGUUUCGGCGGUUGGGGAUGGACUCGCGGCUUAUCAGCUUGUUGGUGGGUUAGUGGCUUACCAAGCUUUGACGGGUAGCCGGCCUGAGAGGGUGACCGGCCACAUUGGGACUGAGAUACGGCCCAGACUCCUACGGGAGGCAGCAGUGGGGAAUAUUGCACAAUGGGCGGAAGCCUGAUGCAGCAACGCCGCGUGCGGGAUGACGGCCUUCGGGUUGUAAACCGCUUUCGCCUGUGACGAAGCGUGAGUGACGGUAAUGGGUAAAGAAGCACCGGCUAACUACGUG
RNAcentral lists this ribosomal RNA (467 nucleotides) under uncultured bacterium. RNAcentral describes it as "partial 16S ribosomal RNA". It matches the Rfam family "Bacterial small subunit ribosomal RNA", at positions 28 to 507 of the family's 1533-position model. The record is from RNAcentral.